This 406-nucleotide ribosomal RNA is filed under the name uncultured bacterium. RNAcentral's name for it is "partial 16S ribosomal RNA". It matches the Rfam family "Bacterial small subunit ribosomal RNA", at positions 30 to 526 of the family's 1533-position model. The record is from RNAcentral.
AUUGAACGCUGGCGGCAGGCCUAACACAUGCAAGUCGAACGAGGGGCGGACGGGUGAGUAAUGUCUGGGAAACUGCCUGAUAGAGGGGGAUAACUACUGGAAACGGUGGCUAAUACCGCAUACUAUCGGAUGAACCCAUAUGGGAUUAGCUAGUAGGUGGGGUAACGGCUCACCAAGGCGACGAUCCCUAGCUGGUCUGAGAGGAUGAUCAGCGACACUGGCACUGAGACACGGCCCAGAGUCCUACGGCAGGCAGCAGUGGGGAAUAUUGCACAAUGGGCGCAAGCCUGAUGCAGCCAUGCCGCGUGUAUGAAGAAGGCCUUAUGGUUUUACAGUACUUUCAGCGGGGAGGCGUUACCCGCAGAAGAAGCACCGGCUAACUCCGUGCCAGCAGCCGCGGUAAUAC